CAGAGGGAGAGAUAGAGGAAGGAGGAGGAAGAGCAGACAGAAGAGGAGAGGGAGAGAGAGAGAUGGAGAGAGCAAGAGAGAAGAGGAGAGAUGGAGACAGAGUAGCAAACGACUCUCUCACACUCCUCAAGUGAAACACGCUCGGACUCUACAUACACUCCUGAGUACACACACACACACACACACAUACCCUGACUCUGACCUGGACCAGUGUGUGUGCCCCUGAGGAGAUGGUGUGUGUGGGGAGGCAGCGGGAGCUCACAGGGCCCCCUAGAGGAACGGAAGAGCAGUGCACCAUAACGGCAGGGGUGGAAACUCACCAGCCGGACAGCACACACACACACACACACAAAAUAGCCUCGCAGGCUGGGAGAGUUCUGUUUCAAAUUAAUCCUUAUUUUUGUGAUUAUUUUUCUAUGUGGAAACCCUUUAAGCUCUGCUGUAGCCCUCUACUGACUACUUAGUCUCAGUGAGUGUGUGUGUGUGUGUGUGUGUGAGAGAGAGACGCUAUGCAAUGGCUGCACACUGCACUGAGGGACUGUGAUGAGUGUGUGUGUGUGUGUGUGUGUGUGUGUGUGUGUGUGUGUGUGUGAGACGCUAUGCAAUGGCUGCACACUGCACUAAGGGACUGUGAUGUGUGUGUGUGUGUGUGCGUGUGUGUGAAUCUGUCACAGUGUGUGUGUAUCUGAUGCUAUGCAACAGCUGCACACUGCACUGAGGGACUGUGAUGUGUGUGUGUGUGUGUGUGUGUAAAUCUGUCACAGUGUGUGUGUAUAUCUGAUGCUAUGCAACGGCUGCACACUGCACUGAGGGACUGUUGUUCUGUGCUUUAGUGCUUAGUCAUACUUCUCCUCCAGUACAGGGGUUUGGGUGUGUGUGUGUGUGUGUGUCCCUACCUUCUCAUCAUGACCUGCUGUCCUCUGUGUCUGUAGUGGGAAUGCCUCACAGUAAUACAGAGGUGUGUGUGUGUGUGUGUGCGUGCGGACUGAAGCACCUUUAAGACACUUGUAUACUUGGCAAGUGGUUUUCCGAGAAGCAUGUGGGAAUUAACUCCGAACAGUACUGUUGAUGUCGGAAUGGAAAUAUUGAUACAGUACUGUUGAUGUCCAGUAAUGUUUACUGUCCACGUGUGCGUUCGAGUCUCUCUGGUUACGGCGGAGUCGCUCAGAGGCCAGACGCCAUGGAAACACACUUCUGUGGCACGUUAAAUCCAGUGUUGUACAUAAAGUUGUAAAUAUGUUCAAAUGUACAUUUCAGAAAAUAAAGUGGAAUCUAAAGAAAUCAA
Molecule: long non-coding RNA, 1285 nt
Organism: Alosa sapidissima (American shad)
Lineage: Eukaryota; Metazoa; Chordata; Actinopteri; Clupeiformes; Clupeidae
Exons: 2
Source: RefSeq, a predicted model, not a curated record